GCGGGAAUAACAUCCUUCAUUCUAAAUGUCCCAAAGGUUGAUCUUCAUUGAUUGGCAUGGGGGGUGGGGGUGCGCAGAACAAGGUGGAGUUAACCUUGCUUGAACUGUUGGAUCAGUAGAGAAAAUCUAGGGGAUUACCAGUGAAGGGGAGAUGGAUACUAGAGGAGCAAAAAGGAUGUUUUCAUGUUGUCAAGAAGAGCAGAAAUAAGCCAGGCGCAGUAGCACAUGCCUGUAAUCCCAGCAGCUUGGGAGGCUGAGGCAGGAGGAUCGCAAAAGAUCGUCAAAAAAGACUCACCAAAAAGUUAGGCGCUACGCUAUGCAACUCAAGUGAGACCCUGUCUUUAAAUAAAAUACAAAAUAGGGCUGGGUGGGGCUGGGGUUGUGGCUCAGUGGCAGAGCACUUGCCUCACACGUGAGGCACUGGGUUCUGUCCUCAGCACCACAUAAAAAUAAGUAAACAAAAUGAAGAUAUUAAAAAAAAAAUAGGGCUGGGACAUGUGGCCCAGUGGUCAAAUGCCCCUGAAUUUAAUCCCCAGUACCAAAAAGAAGGAGGAGGAGGAGGAGGAGGAUGAGGAUGGGUGAUGAGCUUGCUUCAGGUUUCUGAGUCAGCUCAGUCUGAGGCUCCAGGAGAGACAGGAGAACUAGAUUGGCUAUGUUUGUUUGGGGACUCAGCCUAGUUUGAAGGGAACCCAACCACAGGGCUUCUGAAGCAAGCUUUUCUCAGAUCUCAGAUUUCUUUUUUUUUGGGGGGUGGGGGGUGGGUACCAGGGAUUGAACUCAGGGGCACUCAACCAUUGAGCCACAUCCCCAGCCCAAUUUUGUAUUUUAUUAGAACUGGGUCUCACUGAGUUGCUUAACCCCUCACUGUUGCUGAGAUUGGCUUGAACCUGAGAUCCUUCUGUCUCAGCCUCCCAAACUGCUGGGAUUAAGGGCGUGUGCCAUCACGACCAGCUCAGGUCUCAGAUUUCUUUGACCACUUAAUUUGACGUACCUGGAAUUGAUGGAUGAUACUAGAGAGUCCUGGAGCACACCCAGACAGACCUGGGGAGAUCACAGUGUUUUGAAGUAGAUUUUGGAACCAUAUUUAAAAGAGUUGAGAUGAGGACAUAAAAUAAGAGACAUGAAAUAAGUUCAAAGUAUUAUGAUAAAACGGUAGAAGGAAAAGCAACAAAUAAAUACUUGAGGGAAAAUCCUUAUGUCAGUUCAGAGCCAGAGCCAGGUGUGUCUCCUUCUGCUCAAGGUCCCCUUAGGAGAUAGAUACUAUGUUCCCCAUUUUGCAGGGAAGAAAAUGAAGUUCAAAAAGGUCAUUUCAUCAUACCAAGAGCUCAUUGAUUUUUUUUUUUGUUGUUGUUGGUACCAGGGAUUAAAAUCAGGGGUGCUUAACCUCUGAGCUUCAUCCCCCACCUUUUUAUUUUUUAAUUUUGAGACAGGAUCUCCUUAAGUUUCAUGGGUCCUUGAUGACUUGCUGAGGCUGGCUUUGAACUUGCAAUCCUUUGGUUUCAGCCUCCCCAGCUACUGGGAUUACAGGCAUGCACCACCACCACACCUGGUUUUGCCAAUUCUGCUCUAUUCAUGGAGAAAAAGAAGAACCAGGACGAUCUUCCAGCUCAUUCACAAAUCUCGAAUUCCCUUCAUUUCACCAGUUAAAAAACACCUAACAUCCUUUAUGCUAGUUUCUGACCACCAUAGAUUACAAUAGUCUAAAUAUAAACUGUUUGGAUUUUAAAAAGUGGUUGACACAUAAAUAUAUAUCACACUUUCCAUGCAGAGUAUGUUUUUCCUUUCCUUUCCUUUUGGGGUGCUGAGAAUGGAACCCAGAGCCCUGUGCAUGCUAGCCAAGUGCUCUAUCACUGAACUAUAUCCAGCCCCGCAAUGCUAUUUUAUUUUUUUUUAUUAGAACAUUAUAGUUAUACAUAAUAGUUGGGUUCAUUUUGACAAAAAUCAUACAUGUGUGGAAUUUGAUUUACUCUAAUUGGUCCCUGGUGCCUCCUCUUUCCCUUUCCUUCUCUGUCCCCCAGUUCUCCUCUACUGAUCUCCCUUUUGCUCAUUUAUUUAUUUAUUUUUGAUUGGUGCUUUAUGCAUAUACAUAAAGGUGGAAUUCACUGUGAUAUAUUUAUAUAUGCACAUAAUGCUAAGUAUUUUAAUCAAGUUUCAGAUAAUAACCCCUGUGAAUAAUUGACCUACACACUACUGCUUGUUGUAUUCCACUGUGCACCUUAGAACCCUCUGGGUUUGGUAAGCACCAUUGUAUUCUCAGAUUUUUUUUUUUUUUUACUUUAAACUUUUGCUUGUCUCAUCUCAGUGUAUGUCACAGUAUGACCUGCAACCCGCCCCCCCCCCCAUAUACCAUGGCCAGAAAGUCUGGAAAUGCUUUCCAUUGCUGCUUCCAGACUCCUUCA
RNAcentral lists this long non-coding RNA (2399 nucleotides) under Marmota monax (woodchuck). The record is from RNAcentral. Lineage: Eukaryota; Metazoa; Chordata; Mammalia; Rodentia; Sciuridae.